CAUUGGAAUCCAAGUACCCUAUGGAGCUUGCCUUGGAGAAUGACUUCUUCUAUCCUUGCCAUCAUGAUAGCGCCUUUGGCUGGUAUUUUGACUCCGACCUCUGUUUACUUGCAAACUUGAGCGACUACCAGCGGCUAGUCCUUCCUAACCGUGUAAGUAUCUGUGUAUUCACAACUUUGAAUUGAGUGAUGCAUAUACACUUAAUCUGUGCUCAUGCGGCCAGUAACCAAUUUCUUCUUCUCUUCUUACCUUUGAAUGGGUGACCACAAAUAUUUCUCUAACAGCUUGGUUAGUUAAUGAAUCAUGACUGCAAUUUCUCAUUGUUUUUAUAGCUUGGCUUUGUGUGAGUAACCUCUUUGUUCCAGGGGCUUGAGGUUCUUGCCGAAAUGCAAAAAUAAAACUAUGAACGUCACAUCCUCUGGAGAUUAAACACAGCUUAAAAUAUGUGUCUUUGCAAUAAAUUAUGGAAAAUCUCAUAAACUGUGCAUGGUAGAAGAAAAAGACAAGAAUUAUAACUUCUUACCUGAGAGUUUAUUAUACUGAUGCAUUUUUUGCACGGAGCAAGUCCUAAAAAAAUCACAUGCAGACAACUCCCAUAUACGAGUACCAUACUUUUUCUGUAUGUGUAACCAGAUUUUUGCCUGAUAUCCCUAGGCCCCAUAUAGUUUACAUGUUACAAUACUGUUAUUUUUUUUGAAUUUUGUGAAGUGCGAAAGUACUGUAACCAAUGAUAGUCACACACAUAUUAAGAGCAUUCCAUGCCCUUAUGCCCAGCUUGUUAUUCUCAGGACAGCUGUGAUAUGCUGCUUCCCUUCCUUUCUGGUGCAGGGUGGGAAUGAGUAUGAAUAUGACAGAUGGAGUCAGUACAAAUCGUUUUAUAACACCCCUGAUGCUGAUAGAGAGUAUGUGCUGUACUGGGAAAAGAUGGUCAAGGAAAUGAAGGUAUUCAUGGUGCAAUGAUCAGCCAGUCCAAGUUUAAAACUUUGUUCAGUAAAAAAGAAAUUGGACUAACAACCUUCUGUUCUUAAAAGUGGCUUGAAAAUCAUGUGCUUAAAGAUUUUCUGGAGGUAGGCCUAUAUGACCUCUCAAAACCAUGGAAUGACAACUAAUCUUGCAUACGCAUUGUAGCAUCACAAUAACUUCUCUGUUCUACUAUUUAGUGGGAGCCAAUGCGCCGUAAAGGUUUGUACCAAUCAAUUAAGAUUGCCAAUGGGUUCAGCAACAUUCAUUUGGGUCUAGCAUGUCAUGGUUUCGAGGUACAAUUCCUUUGUCGCUUGCUCAUUUAGAUGGUCAGCUCUAGUUAUGAUUAUAUCUAACAAUCGCAAUCUUUCGAUUAAAUUUAGGAGUAUGUAUUGAGGACUCGCCUUUAUCGUCUGUUUGUGGAAGGUCUUUACCGUGCCUUUCUUGAGAUUUGGAAGCGGGUCAAUGAGGGUCAGGUCAGCAUUGUACAUCAGAACUAACAACAGUUUAUGAUUAUUGAUCAGGUUUGUCAAUGCUUUCUAACCCUGUAUAUGCUCGGUGUUGGUGUUUUCUUCUUUGUUGGACAACUUCUAGACGUCUUUCAGAGAUGCUCUGCAGGAAGUUUACAAUGAGAAUCCGGUUCCAUUGCGCCAACAUACUUUGAAGGCUGAGCUGGAGUGCCUGCAUGAUAGCGCCUUUGGCUGGUAUUUUGACUCCGACCUCUGUUUACUUGCAAACUUGAGCGACUACCAGCGGCUAGUCCUUCCUAACUCUGUAAGUAUAUGUGUAUUCACAACUUUGAGUUGAGUGAUGCAGAUACACUUAAUCUGUGCUCAUGCGGCCAGUAACCAAUUUCUUCUUCUCUUCUUACCUUUGAAUGGGUGACCACAAAUAUUUCUCUGACAGCAUGGAUAGUUAAUGAAUCAUGACUGCAAUUUCUCAUUGUUUUUAUAGCUUGGCUUUCUGUGAGUAACGUCUUUGUUCAAGGGGCCUGAGGUUCUUGCCGAAAUGCAAAA
RNAcentral lists this long non-coding RNA (1976 nucleotides) under Triticum aestivum (bread wheat). Its description in RNAcentral is "long non-coding RNA (TAES_LNC000923)". Lineage: Eukaryota; Viridiplantae; Streptophyta; Magnoliopsida; Poales; Poaceae. The record is from RNAcentral.